GGAGUGGUACUCAAGCGGCUGAAGAGGACGGUUUGCUAAAUCGUUAGUGGUCGUAAGGCCAGCGUGGGUUCAAAUCCCACCCACUCCGCCA
This 91-nucleotide transfer RNA is filed under the name Heliomicrobium gestii. Its description in RNAcentral is "tRNA-Ser". It matches the Rfam family "tRNA". From Rfam's summary of the family: Transfer RNA (tRNA) molecules are approximately 80 nucleotides in length. Their secondary structure includes four short double-helical elements and three loops (D, anti-codon, and T loops). The record is from RNAcentral. RNAcentral also lists the same sequence under 2 other names. Lineage: Bacteria; Bacillati; Bacillota; Clostridia; Eubacteriales; Heliobacteriaceae.